Molecule: ribosomal RNA, 484 nt
Filed under: uncultured bacterium
Lineage: Bacteria
Description: partial 16S ribosomal RNA
Rfam family: Bacterial small subunit ribosomal RNA
Source: RNAcentral
AUUGAACGCUGGCGGCAGGCCUAACACAUGCAAGUCGAGCGGAGGAAGGGAGCUUGCUCCUGGAUUCAGCGUCGGACGGGGGAGUAAUGCCUAGGAAUCUGCCUGGUAGUGGGGGAUAACGUCCGGAAACGGGCGCUAAUACCGCAUACGUCCUGAGGGAGUAAGUUGGGGAUCUUCGGACCUCACGCUAUCAGAUGAGCCUAGGUCGGAUUAGCUAGUUGGUGGGGUAAAGGCCUACCAAGGCGACGAUCCGUAACUGGUCUGAGAGGAUGAUCAGUCACACUGGAACUGAGAAACGGUCCAGACUCCUACGGGAGGCAGCAGUGGGGAAUAUUGGACAAUGGGCGAAAGCCUGAUCCAGCCAUGCCGCGUGUGUGAAGAAGGUCUUCGGAUUGUAAAGCACUUUAAGUUGGGAGGAAGGGCAGUAAGUUAAUACCUUGCUGUUUUGACGUUACCAACAGAAUAAGCACCGGCUAACUUCGUG